GCCUGGAUGGCUCAGUCGGUUGAGCGUCCGACUUUGGCUCAGGUCAUGAUCUCACAGCGUGAGUUCGAGCCCCACGUCGGGCU
Molecule: transfer RNA, 83 nt
Filed under: Felis catus (domestic cat)
Lineage: Eukaryota; Metazoa; Chordata; Mammalia; Carnivora; Felidae
Rfam family: tRNA
About the family: Transfer RNA (tRNA) molecules are approximately 80 nucleotides in length. Their secondary structure includes four short double-helical elements and three loops (D, anti-codon, and T loops).
Source: Rfam by way of RNAcentral